CUCGGGGACACAGCGGUUUUGAAAAGGAAGCACAGAGCGCUCAUGUGAGCUUCUCCUCUGCAAGACCCCAUCCUGGGAUGGCUCCUCCCCAACCACCCUGACCCCCACUGCUGGGAGUAGAAAGAAACCUGCCCAGGCUGCUCAUAGCUGCCACAGCGUUGGGACCACGCCACUGACAGAUGCCACUGAAAAGGCAAUGCAUUAAAAAUACAAGAGCCGACAACCAGCUUCUGCUUGACAAACCGAUCACCCCUAUGUGAGUGGAAGCCUCACGCGCCCUGCUUUGAAAGGAGGUCCAGACGGCUGACAAGGACACGCUGUGCGUUUCCUCUGAGGCCUCUGGGGGAAGGGAGCCCAUGAAAGAUGUAAAACGUGGUGAAUAAAACAUCGUGACCCAGGCGCGGGCUGGGAGGAGCCCUUGCUCCCACAAAGCCUGU
Molecule: long non-coding RNA, 437 nt
Organism: Artibeus jamaicensis (Jamaican fruit-eating bat)
Lineage: Eukaryota; Metazoa; Chordata; Mammalia; Chiroptera; Phyllostomidae
Exons: 3
Source: RefSeq, a predicted model, not a curated record